RNAcentral lists this long non-coding RNA (1075 nucleotides) under Anas platyrhynchos (mallard). RNAcentral describes it as "lncRNA (ENSAPLG00020018464.1)". Lineage: Eukaryota; Metazoa; Chordata; Aves; Anseriformes; Anatidae. The record is from RNAcentral.
ACCAACUAUAUCCACUUGCUCCUGAAAUUCCCUCUGUCCUGCUGAGUUGCAUCACUACUGUUAGUCCUGAUCCUCAGGCAGUGGAGAAAGCGUUUGCAGUGCCAAAUGGAUUUUACUGGCAGACAGUUGAAACUGAUGAAAAAUACUUCCCUAAUAGCAGCAACAUUGAGGCUUGCAGCAACACAGACACUGAGGUUGCCAUGGUAUUGCUGUUUGAAACUCUCCUCCGAAGUUCCCUAGCUACCCAUCACAUGUUGCAGCUGGUACUCAGCUCUGGUCUGGAUGUCUGCGGACUCCGCCUGCUCUAUCCUCAGCAUGAUGUGCUGCUCUCUAGCUCAGAAAAACUGCCUUCUUCCUAUGCUUCAGAGACGGGCAUGGUGCCACCAGUGCUGGCUUUGGGCGUGAGAGGGCCCUAAAGCACGUAGCGCCUUGCAGAAUAUCAUGGGGCCAGUCCGACCCGCAGCUGGCUGGCGUGACAGACUGCACUUCCAUCAAUGCCAUCUACUGCAGGAGCCAAGCAGAGCCUCUCGUCUACCUGCCCCAGCUGGACAGCCGCGUGCACAGGGAGCUGUGCCUCUGGUUCGGAGGGAGGGCUGCUCAUGCAGCACUGCAUGGUGGUGUCCUAGAUCCAGCUUCCAGAUGCAACAGAGUGAGGUCUCAGAGUCCUUCAUCAACUAGAGCAGAAGCAGAUGAAGAAAACGUUCAUCUCCAGGACAUGGCGCAACCUCGACCUCCAGCGAUGCUUGUCUCAACUUCCAAAGGGGACAUUAUUUUGAUGGUGUCGCCUGUGGUAUCUCCUCAUGCAUGUGGUAAUGUGAUCUCAGGUCUGUACUCAGUCGGGGGUUUCUUCUGCAAGGAAUCAGACGGCUGCAGCUUUCACCCAAGCAAGCCAUUGUGCUGAGCAUGACAACAAGUCAGGUACCGGUCAGAACAUACAGCUCACUUGUAUGCUUUGGGUUACCAUUUCUGAAACUUAUUAUACUGUGGGUUUAUGGAUGUGUGAACUGACACACUCCUGUAGUGAGUGUUCUUGAGUGUUCUUCUCUCUUCAUUAUCUCUACUAGCUAGCCAGCAC